Molecule: ribosomal RNA, 757 nt
Filed under: Chroococcales cyanobacterium PEPC4A10
Lineage: Bacteria; Bacillati; Cyanobacteriota; Cyanophyceae; Chroococcales
Description: bacterial SSU rRNA
Rfam family: Bacterial small subunit ribosomal RNA
Source: RNAcentral
CAGGAUGGAUGCUGGCGGAGUGCUUAACACAUGCAAGUCGAACGAACCUUCGGGUACGUGGCACGCGGGUGCCUAACGAGAGGGAAUCGACCCUCAGGAGGGGGAUGACGGCUGGAAACGGCCGCUAAUACCCCAUAUGCCGAGAGGUGAAAUGAAUUUCGCCUGAGGAUGAGCCCGCGUCUGAUUAGCUAGUUGGUGGGGUAAUGGCCCACCAAGGCUUCGAUCAGUAGCUGGUCUGAGAGGAUGAUCAGCCACACUGGGACUGAGACACGGCCCAGACUCCUACGGGAGGCAGCAGUGGGGAAUUUUCCGCAAUGGGCGAAAGCCUGACGGAGCAACGCCGCGUGAGGGAUGAAGGCCUCUGGGCUGUAAACCUCUUUUCUCAAGGAAGAAGACAUGACGGUACUUGAGGAAUAAGCCACGGCUAAUUCCGUGCCAGCAGCCGCGGUAAUACGGGAGUGGCAAGCGUUAUCCGGAAUUAUUGGGCGUAAAGCGUCCGCAGGCGGCCUUGUAAGUCUGUCGUUAAAGCGUGGAGCUUAACUCUAUUUCGGCGAUGGAAACUGCAAGGCUAGAGUGUGGUAGGAGAGGAGGGAAUACGCGGUGUAGCGGUGAAAUGCGUAGAUAUCGCGGAGAACACCAGUGGCGAAGGCGCUCUGCUGGACCAUAACUGACGCUCAUGGACGAAAGCCAGGGGAGCGAAAGGGAUUAGAUACCCCUGUAGUCCUGGCCGUAAACGAUGAACACUAGGUGUCGGGGG